CUUUGCUGUCCUUUCCACUAAAUAGUAGAACCUAUUUCUCUACCCUCUUGAGUCCUUGUCAUGUGAUUUGCCUUGACCAAGAAAAUCUCAAAGAAGUGAUGUUAUGGUAAUUCACAGCCUACACCACAACAGGCCAGAAACGUCUACCUUAUCCCUCUUGAAAUGCUACCCUGAGACUGACAUAUGGGGAGUCUGGGCUAGACUCCUUGAGGGUGAGAAACUAUGUGAAGCAAGGUCUGGCCAAUAGACAGCCCCAAAUGCCAGAAUUGGGAGUGAAGUCAUCAUAGACAAUCUGUCUCUAAUGGAGUCCCCAGAUGUGUGCAGAAUAGGAAUAGCCCCAGGAAAGACCAACAGAAGAACCACUCACCUGAGCUCAGCCCAAAUUGUUGACUCACAGAAUUAAUUACAAUCUCCUGUUCCCCCUGAAAGAGCCCAGAUAGAUUCCCAGAUGAGUAUCGGAAGAGGUAGCUGCCAUCAGGACUUGCUUGAUGGACCCAAGCACUCAUCUAAUAGUGGCACUGGAAGAAUUAAUCUGGCUGAUAUAUCAGACCUCUCUCCUCCGUGGGAACUUGCCAUUUUCUCCAGCCUCUGAGUUUUUCUAGUGAGAUUCAGAGAUACAGCCAAAUCGCCUUAUACAAGGCAGGUGCUUGAUACAGGUUGAAUGAAGAUUAUGUUUACCAGGUUCCAGCCUCAGAAUAUUGGAAUCCACUUUCUCUGAAUGCACGGAGAGCUAGAAGCACCUGGGAAUUUAUGUUGCCCAAGAGCAGCCCUUAGCCAAUGAUUGACAGGUGGAGGAGUUUAAAUACUUCACCUCCCUUGCUUCUUAACGGGAAUUACUUCAAAAUAUGCUGCCUCCAGAUCUCCCCUGCAGAUUGAGCCACAGUUAUCUUCUGCUAGACUUUGUUUGCUAUCACACACCUGCUUGGGUUUUUCCUGGAAACACUUCCUAUUAAACUGGUUUUAAAUGAGCC
Molecule: long non-coding RNA, 971 nt
Organism: Homo sapiens (human)
Lineage: Eukaryota; Metazoa; Chordata; Mammalia; Primates; Hominidae
Exons: 4
Source: RefSeq, a predicted model, not a curated record